This 796-nucleotide ribosomal RNA is filed under the name Acinetobacter calcoaceticus. RNAcentral describes it as "bacterial SSU rRNA". It matches the Rfam family "Bacterial small subunit ribosomal RNA", at positions 97 to 890 of the family's 1533-position model. Lineage: Bacteria; Pseudomonadati; Pseudomonadota; Gammaproteobacteria; Moraxellales; Moraxellaceae. The record is from RNAcentral.
GGCGGACGGGUGAGUAAUGCUUAGGAAUCUGCCUAUUAGUGGGGGACAACAUUUCGAAAGGAAUGCUAAUACCGCAUACGUCCUACGGGAGAAAGCAGGGGAUCUUCGGACCUUGCGCUAAUAGAUGAGCCUAAGUCGGAUUAGCUAGUUGGUGGGGUAAAGGCCUACCAAGGCGACGAUCUGUAGCGGGUCUGAGAGGAUGAUCCGCCACACUGGGACUGAGACACGGCCCAGACUCCUACGGGAGGCAGCAGUGGGGAAUAUUGGACAAUGGGCGCAAGCCUGAUCCAGCCAUGCCGCGUGUGUGAAGAAGGCCUUAUGGUUGUAAAGCACUUUAAGCGAGGAGGAGGCUACUUUAGAUAAUACCUAGAGAUAGUGGACGUUACUCGCAGAAUAAGCACCGGCUAACUCUGUGCCAGCAGCCGCGGUAAUACAGAGGGUGCAAGCGUUAAUCGGAUUUACUGGGCGUAAAGCGCGCGUAGGCGGCUAAUUAAGUCAAAUGUGAAAUCCCCGAGCUUAACUUGGGAAUUGCAUUCGAUACUGGUUAGCUAGAGUGUGGGAGAGGAUGGUAGAAUUCCAGGUGUAGCGGUGAAAUGCGUAGAGAUCUGGAGGAAUACCGAUGGCGAAGGCAGCCAUCUGGCCUAACACUGACGCUGAGGUGCGAAAGCAUGGGGAGCAAACAGGAUUAAAUACCCUGGUAGUCCAUGCCGUAAACGAUGUCUACUAGCCGUUGGGGCCUUUGAGGCUUUAGUGGCGCACCUAACGCGAUAAUAAACCCCUGGGGAGUACGGUCCCA